UUGACCUCGGAUCAGGUAGGACUACCCGCUGAACUUAAGCAUAUCAAUAAGCGGAGGAAAAGAAACCAACAGGGAUUGCCCCAGUAACGGCGAGUGAAGCGGCAACAGCUCAGAUUUGGAAUCUGGCCCCCAGGGCCCGAGUUGUAAUCUGGAGAGGAUGCUUCUGGCGCGGCGCCUUCCGAGUUCCCUGGAACGGGACGCCGGAGAGGGUGAGAGCCCCGUACGGUUGGACGCCUAGCCUUUGUGAAGCUCCUUCGACGAGUCGAGUAGUUUGGGAAUGCUGCUCAAAAUGGGAGGUAAAUUUCUUCUAAAGCUAAAUACCGGCCAGAGACCGAUAGCGCACAAGUAGAGUGAUCGAAAGAUGAAAAGCACUUUGAAAAGAGGGUCAAACAGUACGUGAAAUUGUUGAAAGGGAAGCGCCCGUGGCCAGACUUGUGCCCCGCGGACCACCCGGCGCCCUCAGCGCCGGUGCACUCCGCGGGGCGCAGGCCAGCAUCGGUUUUCCUAGGGGGAUAAAGGCGGCGGGAACGUGGCUCCCUCGGGAGUGUUAUAGCCCGCCGCGCCAUGCCCCUGGGGGGA
This 579-nucleotide ribosomal RNA is filed under the name Grosmannia aurea. RNAcentral describes it as "eukaryotic LSU rRNA". It matches the Rfam family "Eukaryotic large subunit ribosomal RNA", at positions 1 to 585 of the family's 3401-position model. Lineage: Eukaryota; Fungi; Ascomycota; Sordariomycetes; Ophiostomatales; Ophiostomataceae. The record is from RNAcentral.